CACCGGGGCCUUCUACCUGAUUUGAGGUCAACUUUAAGAACAUUGUUCGCCUAGACGCUCUCUUCUUAUCGAUAACGUUCCAAUACGCUCAGUAUAAAAAAAGAUUAGCCGCAGUUGGUAAAACCUAAAACGACCGUACUUGCAUUAUACCUCAAGCACGCAGAGAAACCUCUCUUUGGAAAAAAAACAUCCAAUGAAAAGGCCAGCAAUUUCAAGUUAACUCCAAAGAGUAUCACUCACUACCAAACAGAAUGUUUGAGAAGGAAAUGACGCUCAAACAGGCAUGCCCCCUGGAAUACCAAGGGGCGCAAUGUGCGUUCAAAGAUUCGAUGAUUCACGGAAUUCUGCAAUUCACAUUACGUAUCGCAUUUCGCUGCGUUCUUCAUCGAUGCGAGAACCAAGAGAUCCGUUGUUGAAAGUUUUUAAUAUUUUAAAAUUUCCAGUUACGAAAAUUCUUGUUUUUGACAAAAAUUUAAUGAAUAGAUAAAAUUGUUUGUGUUUGUUACCUCUGGGCCCCGAUUGCUCGAAUGCCCAAAGAAAAAGUUGCAAAGAUAUGAAAACUCCACAGUGUGUUGUAUUGAAACGGUUUUAAUUGUCCUAUAACAAAAGCACAGAAAUCUCUCACCGUUUGGAAUAGCAAGAAAGAAACUUACAAGCCUAGCAAGACCGCGCACUUAAGCGCAGGCCCGGCUGGACUCUCCAUCUCUUGUCUUCUUGCCCAGUAAAAGCUCUCAUGCUCUUGCCAAAACAAAAAAAUCCAUUUUCAAAAUUAUUAAAUUUCUUUAAUGAUCCUUCCGCAGGUCACCCUACGGAA
This 814-nucleotide unclassified non-coding RNA is filed under the name Saccharomyces bayanus x Saccharomyces cerevisiae. RNAcentral describes it as "sequence contains ITS1, 5.8S rRNA gene, ITS2". The record is from RNAcentral. Lineage: Eukaryota; Fungi; Ascomycota; Saccharomycetes; Saccharomycetales; Saccharomycetaceae.